This 67-nucleotide transfer RNA is filed under the name Coenobita brevimanus. RNAcentral's name for it is "tRNA-Met". The record is from RNAcentral. Lineage: Eukaryota; Metazoa; Arthropoda; Malacostraca; Decapoda; Coenobitidae.
AAAAAGAUAAGCUAAGAUAAAGCUGAUGGGUUCAUAUCCCAUUUAUGGGUAUAAUUCCCUCUUUUUA